RNAcentral lists this ribosomal RNA (447 nucleotides) under uncultured bacterium. RNAcentral's name for it is "SSU rRNA". It matches the Rfam family "Bacterial small subunit ribosomal RNA", at positions 26 to 518 of the family's 1533-position model. The record is from RNAcentral.
AGAGCGAACGCUGGCGGCAGGCCUAACACAUGCAAGUCGAGCGCCAGUAGCAAUACGGGAGCGGCAGACGGGAUAGUAACACGUGGGAACGCGCCCUUCGGUUCGGAAUAACUCAGGGAAACUUGAGCUAAUACCGGAUACGCCCUUACGGGGAAAGAUUUAUUGCCGAAGGAACGGCCCGCGUCCGAUUAGCUAGUUGGUGAGGUAAUGGCUCACCAAGGCGACGAUCGGUAGCUGGUCUGAGAGGAUGACCAGCAUCACUGGGACUGAGACACGGCCCAGACUCCUACGGGAGGCAGCAGUGGGGAAUAUUGGACAAUGGGCGCAAGCCUGAUCCAGCCAUGCCGCGUGGAUGAUGAAGGCCUUAGGGUUGUAAAGUCCUUUUAACGGGGAAGAUAAUGACGGUACCCGUAGAAUAAGCCCGGCUAACUUCGCGCCAGCAGCCGC